RNAcentral lists this ribosomal RNA (253 nucleotides) under uncultured bacterium. RNAcentral describes it as "partial 16S ribosomal RNA". It matches the Rfam family "Bacterial small subunit ribosomal RNA", at positions 524 to 776 of the family's 1533-position model. The record is from RNAcentral.
UACAGAGGUCUCAAGCGUUGUUCGGAUUCAUUGGGCGUAAAGGGUGUGUAGGUGGCGCCGUAAGUCGGGUGUGAAAUUUCGGAGCUUAACUCCGAAACUGCAUUCGAUACUGCGGUGCUUGAGGACUGGAGAGGAGACUGGAAUUGAUGGUGUAGCAGUGAAAUGCGUAGAGAUCAUGAGGAAGACCAGUGGCGAAGGCGGGUCUCUGGACAGUUCCUGACACUGAGACACGAAGGCCAGGGGAGCAAACGGG